UACAUUUGCAGCUGAAUGAUGACAUUCUCUUAAAAAUGUAUUUGGAGAAGGGUAGGUGGGACAAUCAUUUGGUUUAUAAGUUUCUUGUGUGAGGCUUUUAUGUAGAAAUGCAGAUCUGAGACGUGGGAUCUAGAUUGAAAAUAAAAGCUGUUAAGUUUGUAGGGGGAAAUUAAAAUCUUGAGUAUACAUGAAUUAUAUUUUGGAUACAGGUUAGGGAUGUGCAGUGAAGAAGUUCAAUUCCAUUUGGGCUAGGUAGAAGAAGAAAAGCCAUAUAAGAAGCAGUAUUCAAAAGGAUAUUAUGAAGCUAGGCAGAGUAGCACAUGCUUAUAAUCCCAGUGGUUAGGGAUACUGAGGCAGGAGGAUCAUGAGUUCAAAGCCAGCCUUAGUAACUUAGCAAGGCCCUAGGCAACUUGGUGAGACCCCAUCUCUAAAUACAAAUGUAAAAAUGAAAGGGCUAGGGAUGGUGCUCAGUGGUUAACUGCAGCUGGGUUCAAUCCCUGGUAUCAAAAAUAAAGUGUGGGGUGGGGAUAGUAUUGCGUUCCUGACAAGACAAUAAGUGCUUCAAAGUAGUGGUAGACAGUGUCAAAUGACAUUGAGAAGUCAUGUGAAAUAAGUAAAAAAUAGCCACUGGAUUUGACAACAUGAUGGUCAUAAGUGACAGCAAGAACUAUUUUGUUGGAGUAAAAAGGAAAGAAGCCCAAUUUGAAUGGUAUGUGAUAAAUGAUGAAAGAAUGGAAUUCAUGUGGAGCUCUCUUAAGUUUUGUUUGAUUUAUGUUUCAGAUGGAGGUAAUAUUUAAUAUUGUAUUAUGUUAACUGAUGUUCAUAUAGAGUGGGAAGCAAUAAUUAUAAAAUUGUUACCUGUUAGUGUUUUCCAAAAGUACUGCUUCUAAGAAAACACCCUGAGUUAAUCUGCGACAACAAGCUAUCACCUAUGAUAGGACAUAAGGCUGACUUUCAGAACUAACACUGACCCCAAUUAAAUGGAAGGAAUGACA
RNAcentral lists this long non-coding RNA (995 nucleotides) under Marmota monax (woodchuck). Lineage: Eukaryota; Metazoa; Chordata; Mammalia; Rodentia; Sciuridae. The record is from RNAcentral.